Long non-coding RNA from Balaenoptera ricei (Rice's whale), 296 nucleotides. RefSeq lists it as uncharacterized. The transcript has 3 exons. The record is from RefSeq and is a predicted model, not a curated record. NCBI's taxonomy places the organism in Eukaryota, Metazoa, Chordata, Mammalia, Artiodactyla, Balaenopteridae.
AGGAAGAGCAGCUCCAAAGCUCUGUUCCUGUUUAACCACGGAUGGAAAUUCUCAUCUUCUGUGUCCAUGGAAGCACUAGGCACGUGUGAAAUAUGAACCAGCAUACCCAGAAAAAACUAAACGAGACCUUGAAUGAUGAACAAUGGGAAGGAAACUUUUCUCAAUGUGGUGAACACUGCGCUGUUACUGAGAACGAGACAAGUUCCGGAGGCGCUGGACCCGGUGGUUGGUUAUGGCACAAGCUUGAACUGGGCACAUCACUGGGUACAAACUGUCCUCGUUCUUUGGUGACCGAC